This 669-nucleotide long non-coding RNA is filed under the name Pogona vitticeps (central bearded dragon). Its description in RNAcentral is "lncRNA (ENSPVIG00000004220.1)". Lineage: Eukaryota; Metazoa; Chordata; Lepidosauria; Squamata; Agamidae. The record is from RNAcentral.
CCAGGAUUUCUGGGAGUUGAAGUCCAAGAACUUUUGGAGGCCCAAGGUUGGGGGGAAAAUCACUGUUAUAAAGGGUUAAACAACAAGAGAUGGAUUCCUAGAAAGGAACUUAGAUUAGAAAUUCUGGUGGUUUGAACAGAGAGAGAAGAUUCCUAGAGAGUGAUCCUCCGAGACAAGAAUAGAGAUCAGAGAGACACGGAUUCCUAGAGGGAAAACACGCCAGACAAGAGAGAGAGUCUGGCUUUUUAGCGAAUGAAGAGAGGCUGGAAAGAUGGUUGGAAACAUGAUCCUUGAAGAAGCCAAAAAGCGAUGGCUGUUUUAAGGGCGGGUUUCAGCUUCCUUUUCCUCUGCCCACUGGGAAUUGCAUGGAGGAGCCCUUCCCUUCCAUUCGAACCAGUUUCCAGGCCGUUUGGACCAGUAAUUAAGGAAUUGAUUUUCCUUUGGAUGUUCUUUGCCUUAAGAGAGAGCCUGGCAGAAAAAAGAAAGCCAUUUUUGAUCACGUCGGAGGCAGGUUGUAUAAAGAAUUGGAGAACAGAGAAGAGGAGCUGACCAACCUAGAAGUUAGAACUUCUCAACCCCCUCAGGCCGGUUCUGAAUGACUCUGGGAUAAAAAUGGGGAGACCCCCUUCAAUUUAGACGUCCAGCGCUAAAGCCACAGCAACAAGCAAA